GCGUCAAUAGCUCCAAUGGUCAGAGCGUCCGGCUUAUAUCCGGAAGUGUCGGGGUUCGAGUCCCUGUUGACGUACCA
Molecule: transfer RNA, 77 nt
Filed under: Ruminiclostridium sp.
Lineage: Bacteria; Bacillati; Bacillota; Clostridia; Eubacteriales; Oscillospiraceae
Description: tRNA-Ile
Rfam family: tRNA
About the family: Transfer RNA (tRNA) molecules are approximately 80 nucleotides in length. Their secondary structure includes four short double-helical elements and three loops (D, anti-codon, and T loops).
Source: RNAcentral